This 248-nucleotide ribosomal RNA is filed under the name uncultured bacterium. RNAcentral's name for it is "partial 16S ribosomal RNA". It matches the Rfam family "Bacterial small subunit ribosomal RNA", at positions 85 to 334 of the family's 1533-position model. The record is from RNAcentral.
AAGAUGGCGACCGGCGCACGGGUGAGUAACACGUGUCCAACCUGCCGAUAACUCCGGAAUAGCCUUUCGAAAGAAAGAUUAAUACCGGAUGGCAUACGAAUAUCGCAUGAUAUUUUUAUUAAAGAAUUUCGGUUAUCGAUGGGGAUGCGUUCCAUUAGUUUGUUGGCGGGGUAACGGCCCACCAAGACUACGAUGGAUAGGGGUUCUGAGAGGAAGGUCCCCCACAUUGGAACUGAGACACGGUCCAA